GACGAGGAGCUUGCUCCUCUGACGUUAGCGGCGGACGGGUGAGUAACACGUGGAUAACCUACCUAUAAGACUGGGAUAACUUCGGGAAACCGGAGCUAAUACCGGAUAAUAUAUUGAACCGCAUGGUUCAAUAGUGAAAGACGGUUUUGCUGUCACUUAUAGAUGGAUCCGCGCCGCAUUAGCUAGUUGGUAAGGUAACGGCUUACCAAGGCAACGAUGCGUAGCCGACCUGAGAGGGUGAUCGGCCACACUGGAACUGAGACACGGUCCAGACUCCUACGGGAGGCAGCAGUAGGGAAUCUUCCGCAAUGGGCGAAAGCCUGACGGAGCAACGCCGCGUGAGUGAUGAAGGUCUUCGGAUCGUAAAACUCUGUUAUUAGGGAAGAACAAAUGUGUAAGUAACUAUGCACGUCUUGACGGUACCUAAUCAGAAAGCCACGGCUAACUACGUGCCAGCAGCCGCGGUAAUACGUAGGUGGCAAGCGUUAUCCGGAAUUAUUGGGCGUAAAGCGCGCGUAGGCGGUUUUUUAAGUCUGAUGUGAAAGCCCACGGCUCAACCGUGGAGGGUCAUUGGAAACUGGAAAACUUGAGUGCAGAAGAGGAAAGUGGAAUUCCAUGUGUAGCGGUGAAAUGCGCAGAGAUAUGGAGGAACACCAGUGGCGAAGGCGACUUUCUGGUCUGUAACUGACGCUGAUGUGCGAAAGCGUGGGGAUCAAACAGGAUUAGAUACCCUGGUAGUCCACGCCGUAAACGAUGAGUGCUAAGUGUUAGGGGGUUUCCGCCCCUUAGUGCUGCAGCUAACGCAUUAAGCACUCCGCCUGGGGAGUACGACCGCAAGGUUGAAACUCAAAGGAAUUGACGGGGACCCGCACAAGCGGUGGAGCAUGUGGUUUAAUUCGAAGCAACGCGAAGAACCUUACCAAAUCUUGACAUCCUCUGACCCCUCUAGAGAUAGAGUUUUCCCCUUCGGGGGACAGAGUGACAGGUGGUGCAUGGUUGUCGUCAGCUCGUGUCGUGAGAUGUUGGGUUAAGUCCCGCAACGAGCGCAACCCUUAAGCUUAGUUGCCAUCAUUAAGUUGGGCACUCUAAGUUGACUGCCGGUGACAAACCGGAAGAAAGGUGGGGAUGACGUCAAAUCAUCAUGCCCCUUAUGAUUUGGGCUACCNACGUGCUACAAUGGACAA
Molecule: ribosomal RNA, 1184 nt
Filed under: Staphylococcus epidermidis
Lineage: Bacteria; Bacillati; Bacillota; Bacilli; Caryophanales; Staphylococcaceae
Description: bacterial SSU rRNA
Rfam family: Bacterial small subunit ribosomal RNA
Source: RNAcentral